GUAUACGACUAGAGCGACAUACUAAAACACACGCAAGAUCUGUCUUGAAAAAUGCUGUUGCCGGGGACCCUCAGAUCAUGUUACCUGAGCAUCCUCAGAUGAACCAAGCAUGCAAUCAGAGGGAGAAUGUCGCGUAUCCAGUGUUCACCUCUGAUACCCACAUCCACCCCCAAGCGAUGCGCACCUUCUCACUGACCUUCUCUGCUUGGAUCAGAGGCAGUUUUCUUAUUUCCUUGCCUCGAGGUGCUGUGUCAUACAGCAGCAGGAACAGACAGUCAGACACAAGGACUCGAGGCAAUGGCGGCGGCUGUGUAUGGGGAUUGACUCGGCACCUGGGACUCAAGACGAGAUAACCGCUUUAUCAGAUUAAAGACUGCGAUUGGCAAA
RNAcentral lists this long non-coding RNA (387 nucleotides) under Homo sapiens (human). RNAcentral describes it as "novel transcript, antisense to ARMCX5 and GPRASP1". The record is from RNAcentral. Lineage: Eukaryota; Metazoa; Chordata; Mammalia; Primates; Hominidae.